RNAcentral lists this ribosomal RNA (476 nucleotides) under uncultured organism. RNAcentral's name for it is "partial 16S ribosomal RNA". It matches the Rfam family "Bacterial small subunit ribosomal RNA", at positions 334 to 801 of the family's 1533-position model. The record is from RNAcentral.
CACUCCUACGGGAGGCAGCAGUGGGGAAUAUUGCACAAUGGGCGCAAGCCUGAUGCAGCCAUGCCGCGUGUAUGAAGAAGGCCUUCGGGUUGUAAAGUACUUUCAGCGGGGAGGAAGGCAAUACGGUUAAUAACCGUGUUGAUUGACGUUACCCGCAGAAGAAGCACCGGCUAACUCCGUGCCAGCAGCCGCGGUAAUACGGAGGGUGCAAGCGUUAAUCGGAAUUACUGGGCGUAAAGCGCACGCAGGCGGUCUGUCAAGUCGGAUGUGAAAUCCCCGGGCUCAACCUGGGAACUGCAUUCGAAACUGGCAGGCUUGAGUCUUGUAGAGGGGGGUAGAAUUCCAGGUGUAGCGGUGAAAUGCGUAGAGAUCUGGAGGAAUACCGGUGGCGAAGGCGGCCCCCUGGACAAAGACUGACGCUCAGGUGCGAAAGCGUGGGGAGCAAACAGGAUUAGAAACCCCAGUAGUCCCAUGAU